RNAcentral lists this long non-coding RNA (640 nucleotides) under Oryza brachyantha (malo sina). RNAcentral's name for it is "long non-coding RNA (OBRA_LNC001396)". The record is from RNAcentral. Lineage: Eukaryota; Viridiplantae; Streptophyta; Magnoliopsida; Poales; Poaceae.
CUUCGGGCAUACACCACCCGAGUGUGUACAAUACUAAGAGAUCGUAGACCCAAAUUUGAUACUACUUGUUGGCCUAAAAUGGAAGACGUUGGCUCAACUUGAAACAAGGCUUAAUUGCUACACACCAAAGCUAGCCAGGAGGUUAGAGACUUCCCCACUUUUAAGUUGCAGUAACCAUUCCUUAAUUUCUAUUGUGGGACUAUUCCAACAUUAAGUAGACAUUCUUAUGGGACUAUUCCAUCACUUAAGGACUGAUGAAUUCAAAUAUAUGAUUUUGGCACUAUGACAACUACUUGUUUUCUUGCACAUGGGCCAAUUGCAACACAAACAUAUGCCUUUCUCACAGAUGGUGUUUCUAGUUAACUCUACACUCCUUAAGUGAUCUUUCACCUUUUGUCUGCUUCAAAUUCUGUAUGACCUGGUUCGUCACAAUUGCUGCCUUGCUAGAAGUUGUGUUUGUCGAUCUAGCAGGCAAGUGAACUACCCCAGGUUAACAAUAUAUAUUCCCGGAUGGUGUGCUAUUGCUGAUGUGAAAUUCUUUGUCAGUUCGUUGGUGCAUUUUGUGUAAUCAGCAUCGAGCCUAAUGUUGAUCGAGCGUACAAUAACCCUCUCCUGAGGCUCAACUAUAGCUAUGAAUCAG